AGAAUCAACGCUGGCGGCGUGCCUCAGACAUGCAAGUCGAACGAUUAAAGCUCCCUUCGGGGAGUGUAUAAAGUGGCGCACGGGUGAGUAACACGUAAGUAAUCUGCCUUUGAGUGGGGAAUAACAUCGGGAAACCGAUGCUAAUACCGCAUAAUGCAGCGGCACCGCAAGGUGACAGUUGUUAAAGGAGCAAUCCGCUUAAAGAGGAGCUUGCGGCAGAUUAGCUAGUUGGUAAGGUAUGGCUUACCGAAGGCUACGAUCUGUAUCCGGUCUAAGAGGACGGUCGGACACACUGACACUGAAUAACGGGUCAGACUCCGUACGGAGGCAGCAAGUCGGGAAUUUUGGGCAAGUGGACGAAAGCUAGACCCAGCAACGCCGACGU
This 385-nucleotide ribosomal RNA is filed under the name uncultured soil bacterium. RNAcentral describes it as "bacterial SSU rRNA". It matches the Rfam family "Bacterial small subunit ribosomal RNA", at positions 26 to 402 of the family's 1533-position model. The record is from RNAcentral.